Pelobates cultripes (western spadefoot toad) is the source of this 765-nucleotide non-coding RNA. The record is from the annotation of a GenBank genome assembly. Lineage: Eukaryota; Metazoa; Chordata; Amphibia; Anura; Pelobatidae.
CUGGAUGCUGCAUCUCCCCUGUUUGUAUUUGCUUCUGUCUAUACAGGGCCAGGCAGACGAUGGUGCGUAUGCGUGCGCUAGCUGGGAUGUCCUGGCGUUGGAACCCAGGUACAUGUUGCAAUGUUUCCACCAUGGAAUAGUGGCGUGCAUUACACAUGCGCAAUCCAAUUUCAAAAUCCAGGUGCCAAAAUUAUUUUUUUUCCUCUUCAAAAUUUUGGUUUCCAGGAUUUAGAGAGGCUUUUUACCUAGCAGCAACUGUUUGCCAGAUGCACUCAGAAUCUGUUGCAAGAGUGUUCUCACCUGCCCACCAACACACUUUGAGGCCAUUUAAGGCAAGACAUUUUGCUUUUAUCUUAUGAGUCUAGCCUGAAUUGUAAUUCAUUUAAUCUGUGCUGCAUGUUUCCAACACAGACCACAUGGAUUUAAGCAAUAGUUCUGUUCCAAUUUUACUAAAAAGGCUUCUGAAGAGGCAAUAAAUCAGUAAUAGUUUGACUUCUUACCUGGGCUUAGCUGUCAUUACCCAUAUCAACAAAGUUUACCUUAAUCAGGAAAUCCAGGGGUAAUGCACAUUUCACAGGCACGCAAAUAUAAUCUAGGCCGGAUUAUGUGCUAAACUGAUUGAUGGAAUUGCUAAAUUUAAAAAAGCUACUUUUCUAAAUUGGUUCCAGCAAAGUUUGCAUCAAACGUUUGAAAUGCAGUCUGCUUAAGCCUCUGCUUCUCAAGACCGGCUCAGAAAAAGCCUAGAUCAUGGGAAUUGUCUCACGC